This 506-nucleotide ribosomal RNA is filed under the name uncultured bacterium. Its description in RNAcentral is "partial 16S ribosomal RNA". It matches the Rfam family "Bacterial small subunit ribosomal RNA", at positions 29 to 523 of the family's 1533-position model. The record is from RNAcentral.
AGUGAACGCUGGCGGUAGGCCUAACACAUGCAAGUCGAACGGCAGCACAGGAGAGCUUGCUCUCUGGGUGGCGAGUGGCGGACGGGUGGGGAAUACAUCGGAAUCUACUUUUUCGUGGGGGAUAACGUAGGGAAACUUACGCUAAUACCGCAUACGACCUACGGGUGAAAGCAGGGGACCUUCGGGCCUUGCGCGAUUGACUGAGCCGAUGUCGGAUUAGCUAGUUGGCGGGGUAAAGGCCCACCAAGGCGACGAUCCGUAGCUGGUCUGAGAGGAUGAUCAGCCACACUGGAACUGAGACACGGUCCAGACUCCUACGGGAGGCAGCAGUGGGGAAUAUUGGACAAUGGGCGCAAGCCUGAUCCAGCCAUACCGCGUGGGUGAAGAAGGCCUUCGGGUUGUAAAGCCCUUUUGUUGGGAAAGAAAUCCAGCUGGCUAAUACCCGGUUGGGAUGACGGUACCCAAAGAAUAAGCACCGGCUAACUUCGUGCCAGCCGCCGCCGUAA